Molecule: RNA transcript, 2325 nt
Organism: Prunus persica (peach)
Lineage: Eukaryota; Viridiplantae; Streptophyta; Magnoliopsida; Rosales; Rosaceae
Gene name: ankyrin repeat-containing protein BDA1
Exons: 2
Source: RefSeq, a predicted model, not a curated record
ACCCUAUGAUUUAUAAGAAAGGACCAAUUAGCAAGUGACUAUAUAGUGUUUAUUAAUGAGCAAGGGUCCCAACAAAAACGUUUGACUGAAGCAAUACAUUCUCUUCUCUAAUAAAAUAUUAAUCUGGGUUUGGACUUUGGUUGGCUUGGUCAACUUCUGCUGGCCAAAUUCUUCUUCUUUUUUAGUAUUGGCUUUCACAGUUCCAGAUCCAAUAUUUUAUCACGGCUCCAUCUCCAUGGCUCUCAAGCUCUGAAGCUAAGCGACUUUUCAAGCAAACCCAGAGGAGAAAACAGAGCGAAGAAGAUGGAGAAAAAGCUUUUAGAUGCGGCCAUGGAGGGAAACAUAACGAUGCUUAAAGAUUUAAUCCAAGAAGACCCACUUGUCCUUGAUAGAGCUUUAGCUUCCUGCCUCUCAGAGACCCCACUUCACAUAGCUUCAAUGUUGGGUCAUCUGGGUUUCGUCAAGGAGCUACUGACUCAUAAGCCCGAGUUGGCCUCCGAGCUGGACUCGAGGGGCUCGACGCCUCUCCACUUGGCGGCGGCCAAAGGGCACGCGGAGAUCGUAAAGGAGCUGGCUUUGGUGGAUCCUGCUGCAUGCAUGGUGAGGAACGAAGAUGGGUGGACGGCGCUCCACGUGGCAGCCGUCAAGGGGCGUGUUAAGGUGCUGAGUGAGUUGGCCCGAGUCAGGACUGACUCCACUCUGGCGUUGACGGACCGAGGCGAGACUGUGCUGCACUUGUGCGUUGGGCAUAAUCGGUUGGAGGGGUUGAAGGCUUUGGCUGAGGCUUUUGGAAAAGAUGAUGAGUUUCUGAAUUGGAAGGACGUCGAUGGGAACACCAUUUUGCAUAUUUCUGUGGCCAAGAAGCAAAUUGAGAUCAUCAAGUUCUUGCUUACCAGUACUGGAGUGAAUGUGAAUGCGUUGAAUGCCAACAGCUCUACGGCUUUGGACAUUCUGAUGCAGAGUCUUAGAGAUUUGAGGGAUAUGGAGAUUGAGGAUUCUCUUCGAAGUGUAGGGGCUAAAAGUGCAAAGGAUGUACAACCCAUCAUGCAUGACUGGGUUCGUGUUCCAACAAAAGAACACCAGAUAUCAAGACGUCUAGGCUCAGCAGCACUAUCUUCGAAAGAGGGUGAUUCUAUGAGGCUGCCCAACAGAAGCCUAGCGAUUGGCUCGGGAGGAGGAGAAGUUCGUUGAUGGUGGUGGCAUCUCUCCUUGCAACCGUUGCCUUCCAAGCUGGUUUAACCCCGCCAGGAGGUGUUUGGCAGGAUGACCUGGAAGUAGAUGAGAAUGGCAACCCUGUGGCAAAACCUCACUCCGUAGGAACAUCUGUCAUGGCAUAUAACCUGCCAAAAGAGUAUGGUCUGUUCAUGAUUUUUAACACAAUUGCUUUCCUCACGUCCCUAAGCAUAAUUCUUCUGCUUGUUAGUGGGCUACCAAUAAAGCGUCGAAGGUGGAUGUGGAUACAAAUGGUCAUAAUGUGGGUUGCCAUCACUACACAAGUAGUAACUUACUUCAUCUCUCUCCGUCAAAUGUCACCUGAUGCCUCAAAUGUGAAAAAAAUGUUGCGCGAGGUAACGGAGAAAUCAGUUUUGGCAUGGUUGUGUUUGAUGGUGGUUGUUUUUGUCGGCAAUUGUGUUCGUAUGAAUUUAUGGGUUCUCAGAAAGUACGGUUAUAUUAAGCCAAAAGAGGAAUCAGCCCCCAUUGAUGAUGAACUUGAAGAGGAGGAGAACUGAGGAUUAAAGUGAAUGGGACUCUCACUAAUUUAUGGCUUGGCGACACAGAACUUAUAAUUGCAAUUUUCUGGAUGUGAGUGUCAAGCUAGAAAGUUUUCGUCCACAGCCCUGUCAGGUAUGAGAUUGGACAUUUGAAGGUAAGUUUUUUAGCAGCACAUUUGGAUGAAGAUAUUGUGGUCAAGCCCCUUCUUAUCUGAUUGUUUGGGUUUGAGGGUUAAACUCACCAUUCUUGUACAUCUCUAUUCCUCUGUUAAAGUCAUCGGUCCUUGUCUCUGAGAUGGCAAUGCUUUUAUGUGUAUGUGCUUUUAUCUUCUGUACUUGUAAAUUUUGAGAGAAAUAUACUUCGUUCUGAUUGAUUCAGUUGGCAUGAUAAGAAUGCCACUGUUAAAGUCCGCUCUGUUAAUGAUUCUGUGAAGGUAUAUUCUUUAAUGAAACUAUAGUCAUUGGCUCGGUUGGUGUGUGGUGGGUUUGCAACUUUGUCCUCGGAAGCAUAUAUAUUUUUAUGGUUGGGGUUUUGGCUAUCUUCUUCUUCCUUGUAAUAUUUUUCUGUUUAAUUGUUGAAGCACAUACUUAAACACCUGUUUAGGGAAUAUCU